AGAGCGAACGCUGGCGACAGGCCUAACACAUGCAAGUCGAACGGACCCUUCGGGGUUAGUGGCGGACGGGUGAGUAACACGUGGGAACGUGCCUUUAGGUUCGGAAUAGCUCCUGGAAACGGGUGGUAAUGCCGAAUGUGCCCUUCGGGGGAAAGAUUUAUCGCCUUUAGAGCGGCCCGCGUCUGAUUAGCUUGUUGGUGAGGUAAUGGCUCACCAAGGCUACGAUCAGUAGCUGGUCUGAGAGGAUGACCAGCCACAUUGGGACUGAGACAUGGCCCAAACUCCUACGGGAGGCAGCAGUGGGAAUCUUGCGCAAUGGGCGAAAGCCUGACGCAGCCACGCCGCGUGUAUGAUGAAGGUCUUAGGAUUGUAAAAUACUUUCACCGGUGAAGAUAAUGACUGUAGCCGGAGAAGAAGCCCGGCUAACUUCGUGCCAGCAGCCG
Molecule: ribosomal RNA, 443 nt
Filed under: uncultured soil bacterium
Lineage: Bacteria
Description: bacterial SSU rRNA
Rfam family: Bacterial small subunit ribosomal RNA
Source: RNAcentral